AGUGAACAUUGAGAGGAUAGAGCUGAAGACCCAGGCGCACAGGAAGAGUGAGAAGCUGGCAGAGUACCUGUUUGAGGUUCUGUGGUCAGAUUCCACUGUAUCAACAGUCUUGAAAGCUGCUCCAGACCUGACUGAAUUUCUCUCAAAGCUCCCUCAGCUGUUUCCAGAUGAAGAUUUCGAGAAACUUAUUCCACAGCUGCCCGGCCUGGACUCUGCCCCUGACCCAGAUCCCAGAUGCCUGGUGUCUCUGCCCUCCCACGUGUUGAAAAACGACCAAGUCAAGCACUUCUUCAGCGCCCCCUCAGUGGCUCAGUGCCCUCAGAGCACAAAUUUUGCCUAUGUUUCCCAACACAAAGCCUCCAGCACUGCCGUAAGG
Non-coding RNA from Lepisosteus oculatus (spotted gar), 376 nucleotides. The record is from RefSeq and is a predicted model, not a curated record. Lineage: Eukaryota; Metazoa; Chordata; Actinopteri; Semionotiformes; Lepisosteidae.